This 211-nucleotide ribosomal RNA is filed under the name uncultured bacterium. Its description in RNAcentral is "partial 16S ribosomal RNA". It matches the Rfam family "Bacterial small subunit ribosomal RNA", at positions 568 to 777 of the family's 1533-position model. The record is from RNAcentral.
CACGUAGGCGGAUUGCUAAGUCAGGGGUGAAAUCCUGGAGCUCAACUCCAGAACUGCCUUUGAUACUGGCGAUCUUGAGUCUGGGAGAGGUGAGUGGAACUGCGAGUGUAGAGGUGAAAUUCGUAGAUAUUCGCAAGAACACCAGUGGCGAAGGCGGCUCACUGGCCCGGUACUGACGCUGAGGUGCGAAAGCGGUGGGGAGACAAAACGA